CGGUGGCAGUGAGCUGAGAUCACACCACUACACUCCAGCCUGGGCAACCAGAGCGAGACCCUGUCUCAAAAAAAAAAAAAAGAAUAAAAAAAUUUAGAUGUUGUGUGUUAUAUUUUAUUUUAUACAUGAUUGUUCUGAUACUAAAUUUCACUAAUAUGGAAGAAAAGCAUGUGUUCUGCACUGAAGAACAGUGUACAAAAGAAUUUAAGAAACUACCUGCUGAAUAAAUCGAGCUACAUUUAAAGUGUAUAAUUUUAAAAUUAAAAAUUUUCUCAUUUUAAUGUUAACUUUUUAGCUCUGCAAGAUUUGAAGGGUCCCUUAAUAUGGACCUUAAUGAAAUCAGCAUGAAUUUAGUUCCUUUUCCUCAACUUCAUUAUCUCGUGUCAAGCCUAACACCUCUGUAUACACUGACAGAUGUUAACAUUCCUCCUAGAAGAUUGGAUCAGAUGUUUUCAGAUGCCUUUAGUAAAGAUCACCAGCUGCUUCGGGCAGACCCCAAACACAGUCUUUACCUCGCCUGUGCACUCAUGGUUAGAGGAAAUGUACAAAUUUC
RNAcentral lists this small RNA (553 nucleotides) under Pan troglodytes (chimpanzee). Its description in RNAcentral is "retained intron". The record is from RNAcentral. Lineage: Eukaryota; Metazoa; Chordata; Mammalia; Primates; Hominidae.